RNAcentral lists this ribosomal RNA (356 nucleotides) under Lipolexis gracilis. RNAcentral's name for it is "partial 16S ribosomal RNA". Lineage: Eukaryota; Metazoa; Arthropoda; Insecta; Hymenoptera; Braconidae. The record is from RNAcentral.
CUGCCCAAUGAAAAUUUUAAAGGCUGCAGUAUUAAUAACUGUACUAAGGUAGCAUAAUCAAUAGUUUUUUAAUUAAAAACUUGUAUGAAAGAUUUAAUGAAGUAUAAACUUUAUAAAAAAAAAUAAAAUUUGAAAUUAAAUUUUAAGUUAAAAUUCUUAAAUAUAAUUAAAAGACGAGAAGACCCUAUAGAAUUUUAUAUUUUUAAAAUUAAUAAUUUAUUAAUAAUAAUAUAAAUUUUAAAAAAUAUUAAAUUGGGGUAAUUUAAAAAUUAAAUAAACUUUUUAUAUGCAAACAUUAAUUAAUGAAUUUAUUAACCUAAAAUUUAGAUCAUAAAAAUAAAUUACCUUAGGGAUAA